RNAcentral lists this ribosomal RNA (425 nucleotides) under Streptococcus constellatus. RNAcentral's name for it is "bacterial SSU rRNA". It matches the Rfam family "Bacterial small subunit ribosomal RNA", at positions 28 to 425 of the family's 1533-position model. The record is from RNAcentral. Lineage: Bacteria; Bacillati; Bacillota; Bacilli; Lactobacillales; Streptococcaceae.
GACGAACGCUGGCGGCGUGCCUAAUACAUGCAAGUAGAACGCACAGGAUGCACCGUAGUUUACUACACCGUAUUCUGUGAGUUGCGAACGGGUGAGUAACGCGUAGGUAACCUGCCUGGUAGUGGGGGAUAACUAUUGGAAACGAUAGCUAAUACCGCAUAAGAACAUUUACUGCAUGGUAGAUGUUUAAAAGGUGCAAAAGCAUCACUACCAGAUGGACCUGCGUUGUAUUAGCUAGUUGGUGAGGUAACGGCUCACCAAGGCAACGAUACAUAGCCGACCUGAGAGGGUGAUCGGCCACACUGGGACUGAGACACGGCCCAGACUCCUACGGGAGGGCAGCAGUAGGGAAUCUUUCGGGCAAAUGGGGGGAAACCCCUGACCGAGCAAACGCCGCGUGAGUGAAGAAAGGUUUUUCGGAUUCG